UCGGAGUUAUCGGUGUAUUUUUAUUCCGUCAUCGCAAAACAGAAGUUUCGGAUAACUGGGUGACUUCUGAAACGCUAACCGGAUUCCAACGGGGGAAUGCAGAUCGCAAAUAAUCAGAUACUAAAGCAGAAUCGAUGCCGGCGAAAGAAUUGUUUAUAUCCAGAUGGUUUAUCGAAGGAAAAAAACAACCUUUUUCAGCACUAAGCGGAUACAAAAAGUGGGCAUUUUUUCUCAAAAUUGUAUAUUGCCAUCGAGUGGAAGCCGAUCAACAGGUCUAAAAAUGCAGACGAAACAAAAUUUGGAAACAAAUGGUUUACCGACGGAAAAGCAGAAUAGGAACAGUCUAUACAAACAUGGCCACAGAAUAGUAAUGUUGUAAGUUCAAAAUGGAA
Molecule: long non-coding RNA, 392 nt
Organism: Armigeres subalbatus
Lineage: Eukaryota; Metazoa; Arthropoda; Insecta; Diptera; Culicidae
Exons: 3
Source: RefSeq, a predicted model, not a curated record